CCAGCGGCCGCCGAGGGUGCCCGCCCAGGCGACCCGCCCUCCCGGCCGCGGCGCGGACGGACCGACGGACGGCGCUGCGAGCAGGAGGCGUCCGGCCAUGUUCAGCCGGAGCUCCCGGAAAAGACUCUCCAGCCGCUCGUUGACCGGACUGGGGCGGAUAGAGCGAGGCCAGCCAUGUAACGCCUGUGGUGACCAGUGCCCUGGGUUCGCCUUGCAUAAAUGGAGGAUGGUACCCGAGUCAUAGGGAAAUGCGGUGGUUACUGUGGGAAAUGCACUCCAUCCUCUGGUACUGGCCUGGAGGUGCGAGUUUUAUAGCUAAGAUCUGCUGUGAUUGUUCCUUUUCACAAACCACAAUGACUCUGGAAAACCUGGCUGUAAAGGCCAGCACUGCCACCAGCUAAGGAUCUAUGAUCAGGAGUGCCAUCUCACGGUGACUGGGGUGAAGACAAGCUUGUGCAGGCCACUGGCUAACACAGUUCAUCCCAUGCCUCCUACAUACCAAGCACUGUGCCAUGCGCUUUUCACGUCUGGCAUCCUCAGAAUCCUCCAAAAUGCUGGAAGUCCAAGAUCAAGGCUGGUUUCUUCUGAGGCCUCUCCCGCUGGCUUGCAGAUGGCUGUCUUCUCCCUGUGUCUUCAUAUGGUCUUCCGUGUGUGUGUGUGUGUGUGUGUGUGUCCCCUGAUCUUUUCUUAUAAGGACACCAGUUAUAUUAGGGGACAGGAAGAAGAGAAAGGUGAGUCUGCUAGGAAGUGAAGAGGACCUGGUGAAGACUUAGAGCAGGAGCCAGCAAGCUAUGCUAGACCAAACUGGACCUACUGCCUGCUUUUGUAAAUCAAGCUUUAUUGAAACACUGUCACUCUCCUUCAUCUAUGGCACUUUUGUACUACAAUUGCAGAGUCAGACUCAAACAACCCAGUGGGACACUCUGAAAUUUAGAGGAAGUGGUCCAAUAGAAUUUUCUGGAAUUAUGGAAAUCUUCUAUUUUGUGCAUCCAGUGUAGCAGAAUCUAGUCACAGGUGGCUUUUGAGAACUGGAAAUAUGGCUAAUGCAACUGAGAAAGUGAAUUUUUACUUUUGAUUCAUUUAAAUGUAAAUGAUCACAUAUGACAUCACUGCCAUAUUGGACAUUGCAGUUCUGGAAGAUGGCAGAUGCAGCCCUUAGAAGAAUCAUCGGCCUGAAUGUCUGGGCGGAGCAUAGCACUACCUUCCCACUUGCUCUUCCCCUCCUCUCACCCCCUCCCCUGCCUCACUUGCAUCAGACUGUGAUGUGAGCAAAAGCAUGAAACAGCUCUUUUGAUAGGCCUGUGAGACUUGCUGUUUAUUGGACUAGCUAGGCUGCUCUGACUCAUACACACCCGAAUCGUGGCAACCACUUUUAUGAAGAAAUGACAAUUCAGUCUACUACUUGUCCAUGUUACAUGCCCAAGGAAUGUGAGGGGCCUCUGCUUGGAUCUAGUUUUCAACCUAGUCUGUGGCAUUGAUUAUCCUGUUUAAAAGACAAAAGAGGUGACUUCAUGGGCACUUAACAUCUUGGCCAUACUGACCCCAGCUGCACGCUAUGUAGGAAGUUUUAGUCCAUUUAAACUGAAGUUCCAAUUUUUUUUUUACAACCAUUUAAAAUUGUCCAUGUCCCAUACAUGACAGAGAAAGGGUUGUCUGGUUGGAUGAUUUUUGGCUCACAAAAAAAGAACACAAAAGAAAAGCAUACGUUUUAAUACUCAAGAGACCAAAUUCUCUGCUGAAGAGGAAAUGAACUACAUAUCCAGAAGGGUCCUGCCAAGAGGCCAAACAGGCUGUACUCUCUUGGGGGAGUUCUCAGUGGUGAUGAGAACUUUUUUUUUUUUUUUUUAAGUCAUUUCCAAGGUGAGAUACUGACUUGCUGCGGGAGCAGGAAAACUGGUCUCUCUUUCAUUGCUAGCAGCAGAGUAAGGGUCUUGCAAGUUUCAGGCAGCAGCAGAGUAAGGGUCUUGCAAGUUUCAGGCAGCAGCAGAGAAAGCAUCUUGCAAGUUUCAGUCCAAAGCAAGAAGAGCUAGGAUUGCACCAGCCAUCUCACCUACUCUGUGCUCACCUGUUUCUGGAUGAACCACGGUGACAUCUGUUUUAUUGUAAAGAGAACCAAUUUUGGAAUCAAAUGGAACCUGUAUUAAAAUCCUGAAUCCGUCA
This is a long non-coding RNA of Symphalangus syndactylus (siamang), 2160 nucleotides long. RefSeq lists it as uncharacterized. The record is from RefSeq and is a predicted model, not a curated record. NCBI's taxonomy places the organism in Eukaryota, Metazoa, Chordata, Mammalia, Primates, Hylobatidae.